Molecule: non-coding RNA, 7284 nt
Organism: Durio zibethinus
Lineage: Eukaryota; Viridiplantae; Streptophyta; Magnoliopsida; Malvales; Malvaceae
Source: RefSeq, a predicted model, not a curated record
GCCAAAAAAAGGUAAAGGAACGUAUAAUGCACGCGAUUACCAAACCCUCUUAAAACGGAGACAAGGAUUGGGGUUUACAUGUGAAUUAGGAAUUAAUAAAAAUGGAUUCUUCUUCUUCUUCUUCUUCUUCUUCUUCUGCUUCGUUUAACUCAUUCUUGAUUCGCAUCCGAGCUUCCGCCAAUUCGUUCCUUUCACAAUUCGAACCUCUGGCUCUGCUCUUCGCCCCUCUCCUUACUCUCCUCGUCGCGCGUGUACUUGAGUCGUUUCUUUCCGUUAUUCACGAGAAAGGCCUCAAAGCUACGCUUCUAGGUUUUUUCAUGAGCUCUAUCAAGCUGGUUCCUGGUGUUAAGAGUUAUAUUGAUGCGGAGAAACAGAAGGUUGUGGAUAAGUUACAAUCUGGUAGCAAAUCCAAUAGAGAACACUGGAGGAUGGAGUUGCCAACCACAGGUUUAGGAGUAGGUGUUAUAGAGGAAAUGAAAGAUGAAAAGGGCAAGGAUGCUGAUUGGCAAGGAAAAUGCUCUGGUACAGUCUACAUUGGUGGAAAUGAAUCUGAAGGGCAUUUUUCUUUGAUCAACGAGGCAUGUUCAAUGUUUGCUCAUACCAAUCCAUUACAUUUGGAUGUGUUCCAAAGUGUGGCACGAUUUGAGGCUGAAGUGGUUGCUAUGACAGCUGCUUUGCUUAGCAGUAAAGAGAAGGCUUCUGGUGGAGAAGUAUGCGGAAACAUGACAUCAGGAGGAACCGAGAGUAUAUUAUUAGCUGUGAAAACGUCUCGGGAUUAUAUGAAGAUGAAGAAGGGGAUUACAAGGCCAGAAAUGAUAAUAGCUGAAUCUGCACAUUCGGCAUAUGACAAGGCAGCGCAAUAUUUUAACAUCAAGCUGCAUCGUGUUCCUGUCAAUAAGGAAUUUCAAGCAGAUGUGAAAGCAAUAGCGCAAUAUAUUAACAGAAACACAAUCUUGAUUGUUGGAUCUGCACCUGGGUUUCCUCAUGGCAUCAUUGACCCUAUUGAGGAGCUUGGUAAAUUGGGUUAUAGAUAUGGAAUUUGUUUACAUGUUGACCUUUGUCUUGGUGGCUUUGUAUUGCCUUUUGCUCGUAAACUUGGGUACCCAAUUCCAUCUUUUGAUUUCACUAUUAUGGGAGUAACUUCAAUGUCAGUGGAUGUGCAUAAAUAUGGGCUGGCUCCUAAAGGAACAAGUGUAGUUCUGUACAGAAAUCAUGACAUUAGAAAGCAUCAAUUUGUUGCUGUUACUGAGUGGUCAGGUGGGCUUUAUGUUUCUCCAACAAUAGCUGGAAGCAGGCCUGGAGGAUUGAUUGCUGGAGCUUGGGCAGCAAUGAUGUCUCUGGGACAAGAAGGUUACUUGGAGAAUACAAGAAAGAUCAUGGAAGUAUCGAAGAUGAUACAGAAAGGGAUAAAGGAGAUUCCUGAGUUGUUUAUCAUUGGAAAGCCAGACAUGACAAUUGUGGCAAUUGGAUCUGCUGUUCUGGACAUAUUUGAAGUCAAUGAUAUCAUGUCUCGCAAAGGUUGGCAUUUGAAUGCCUUACAGAGACCCAACAGCAUUCAUAUAUGUAUCACUCUUCAACAUGUGCCAGUUGUUAAUGCCUUCCUCCAGGACUUGAGGGAAGCUGUAAAAACUGUGAAAGAAAAUCCAGGCCCUAUAAGUGGAGGCCUAGCACCCAUAUACGGUGCAGCGGGAAGGAUGCCAGAUAGAGGCAUGGUUCAAGAAUUGUUGGUAAAUUACAUGGAUGGUAUAUGCUAGGAUAUGUCAUAGCCUCAUAGCUUGCCAUCACCCAUACCAUACUUCUUGGGAAAUUGACCAUUUGACUACAAAGGAAAAACUGACAACGAAACCGGACAGAGAAGAAGCAAACCAGAAACAAUGGCCACUCAAUCCUUUUUCCAGGAUGACACUUACCAAUGGCAAAAUCCUUGAAUGGUUCACUGCUAUUUUGGCGGAACUUGCGGUGCAUCCAACCAAGUAACUGCAUCCAAAAGAGAAAAUUUCAGCCCAUAGAAUGAGGAAGAUCACUUUCACCAGGCAUAACCGAAAGGUGUAUACCUUCAUCUCCACUCUCUUUAGGAUAUCAACUUUGACCAGUUGUUGUGUAUGGUGUGUGGGGUGGGUAUCUACUUAACCAUUAGAUGAUGAACUGUUUAUGAAUGUGAAAUAAAUUAGGCCUUUGAAGCCUUCUAUCAUCUGAGAUAAAGAUGGCUGGAGAGAAACACAGAGAUCAUUACAAGAUUUGGGUUGGCUAUUAAUUAUCAAGAUCACAUCAUGUAGCCAAAUGGAGAGUGGGUCCUCCGCACCAGGAGACCAAAAUUCUAUAUAAGCCAUCCACUCAUGUUCAUAUUCAUCGCGGGUUACAGGGUUUAUGACUUUUUCCUUUCUUUCUUUUCAUUGUUUCUUAUUUAUUUAUUUGUUUGCAUGAUUUGUCAUACUUAAAAAUCUUUAUUAUGGUGGCAUGUAUGAAUCACUCACAUGUCCAUUAAAUCUGUAAGUUAAGAUGCCACAUUCUACAGAUCAUCAAGUUGAAGUAUGCCAUGUUGUAAGUUACCACUGUUUCCAACAUGUAAAUCUGCAUGCACCUUUUUGGUUUGGAUUUUGAUGAAUUAAUUAUCAUUAUUACAAUAAUUGGUUUACUUGGUAUUUGGUGGAAGAACCUGGCUUUACUAGUGGGGGCUGCGGAGACUAUUUUGUCAGAUUUACUAGUGGGGGCUGCGGAGACUAUUUUGUCAGAUUUCAUUGUGUUCAAAUGUAAUAUGACAAUAGAAUAUCUUUUCUCAUUGUGGAUUCAAAAAGAACAUCUGCCUGAUGCUCCUUGGUGGUCCGCUACUGUGAGGGGUUUUCUAACUGAAUGACCAUCGUGUGAUAGAAAAGAAUAAAUGAUAAUUUACUCAAAUAAAUAUCUUCAUAUACAAUACAUUACAAUAAUGUUGAAGUUGCUUAAAGAAUUUCAAUUUGCAGUCACCAAUUGGAUCCACUUGAUAUUCCCGAUAUUCUAGUUAAUUCUAUUAUUUUGGAACAUAGAAAACAUGCAUUUAGCUUUUAACCACAACAGGUAUGACUAAAAUCUAACUCUUCACCUACACAUUUCUUCACAUGUUAUGUUUCAUAAAUCUAGUUGCAUUUAAUAUAUUGUUAAUUUGCCACUGUAUAUGACUAACCUCUCAUAAUCAGAUUUUACUUCUGCAUGGUGAUUACUAAUAACAAUUCUCCAUUAUCUACUUUCAAGCAUAGCCAAAUAACGACCAUUAACAAAAGUUCAUGGCUUGUGAUCUCAAUACUUCCCAGUUCUAUGGAAUGUUGAAGUUGCUUUCAUUCUUAGCCAGUCUUGUACAGAUUCGCUGUCAUUACCAUUAUAAUAUGUAUUUCUGCAGGCCUCAUCAAGUUCAUGACUGUUGACCUCAAAAAAAAUCAGUGUAUCUUGCUAGCUACUUUGUUAUGACUGUGCUGAAAAACAAUAAAGGGUUUAUCACUGAGAGACAAAUGUAGUAAAGCCAUUUUUGGUGAACGAGUACAAAUAUCAUAGAUGUUGAGUAGCAAAUUAUGAUACCCGCAACUACUGGUAAAUCUUUGCGAAACCUUUAAUUAACAACUGCGAUAACAAUAUUUGUGAAUUAUGUUCUAGUAGAGGUUCCUUAUCUGUAGCCUCUAAUUUUGUAAAGCUCAUCUAUAGAUAGAUUUUCAUAGCAUGCUUUAACAGUACUUGCAUCUUCUGGAUUGCCUGAAUGAGUAACUGUGAAAGAGAAACUAAUGUCUAACAUUACUUUGCUCUUCCAUGCUUAUUAGUGAAUGCUUGUUCUAAAUUUAUUACCUUGUGACUGCUAUUUUAAAUGUUUUUAAUCAUUGAUUAUCUCCUGCAGUUAAUUCAUAUAAUUUCCUUAAAAAAAUGAAUAGUCAUGGAGAUGGGAAAAAACUGCUCUUUGAUGUUCCAAUAUCUGGAUGUGUGUCUCUACAAGAUCAUUUUCAUUGAAAUUUAAUCUCUAAAUUCCAUGAUUUCUACAUAAAGUACCUUGACAUUUUAAAUAUAUGAAGGAUGCAGUAAAAGGAGCAAACAUAGAGAUGUAUUAUCGUUCGAUAUUUGUGGCCCUUCAUUUUGUUUCUAUUUUUAUGAUGCUUUAAUCAACGACUUUCACUCUUCUUCAAAGGAAGGAGCAAGAGAUAUGGGUGCUUGGACCAUGUAGUAUGGUAUCAUCUAUAGAUUUUGAUGAUACUUGUGAAUCCUUCUUCUGUCUAAACAUGCAACAAUUUUUCAAAAAUAAAUCUAAAUACAAUGAUGAUCACAUAUGAUCUGCUUAGGUACUGGUCUUCUUGAGUUUUUGAUGCAGUGCUCCCACAAGUGAUGGUUCUCUUCUACUUGCAGAUUUGUUGUGCUGCUCUUAAGUUGUUGAUAUAACAGGCUGGUUGGUAUGAAUUUGAUGGUGUAUCAAGUAAACAUGAAAGAAAAUGGUGUGAGGAAGUCAUAGAUGAUUAUAAUGAGAUAAAAUCUCUGAAAGAGGCAGGACAAUCAAAACAAUGAAUUAAAAUACGAAGUUGGUGCUGAAACUGCACUGUCCAGGCAGGUGUAGAACUCUGCAAUAUGGAAAUUCUAAGAAAUCAGAAGAAACUGGAAGGCACAUUAUUAGUUUGAAACUGGUUAGCAGGUUAGGUGUGGAUCAGUUCUUUCUUGAUUGAAACUUCAAUAUCUUACCUGCAUUUCAGUUUUGGUUUCGACAUUGCUAGCUCUAUGUUAAGGGCCAAGGUUUUAAUAUCUUUUAAUCAAAAUUUCAGUAAUGCUCAUAGUGAAAGGUAUUUCCUUCUUCAUGUGGCUGUCCUAGUACUUCCUUUUUUGCUGUACAAGAGAGAGUAUGUGAUACAGCAUCCAAAUUACUGAUAAAACUAUUGCAAACUCAGAAUAGUAACGAAAAUGAAUUAAUUGAUAUUUAGAAGCUGGAAAUGAAUGUAAGAUAUUUUGGUUGUGAUUGAAUAAUAUUGUUCUAUAUAAUUAAUUGUUUAAGAAAUAUAGAAAAUUUGAGUUUGUAGUAGCUUCUCUUUUUAUGACUAGUAUAGCAACUACUUAAUCACAAGAUGUUCCAUUGAAUAGAUGAACUCAUGGAAUGGUGUUGAUAAGAACAAUAGAGGGUGUUCAAGUGUUGAAUACUUCCUAAAUGACUUGGUCUACUAGCUGUUGAUGGUGUUUCCUGCAUGGUUAUAUACUUAUAUUUGUAUAGAGUAUAGAGUAAUUAUAUGUAUGUUUGUGCAGCUUUAGUGGUUCCAGGUUUUAAAUCAACUUUGAAAGUCAUCAGCCCCUAAUUCAAUAGGAUAACUAAUAUGUAAUUUCCCUUCUUUUUCAUUUUCCUUUUGGUCGUAUUGGGAGUGUUGUGUUUGAUAUGGUCAUGCACAAGAACAAUUACCUACACUGACAAAAUAAAAUACUCCGGAAAUGAAAAAUGGUUCUGACAGAACGAAAUGGUAUGUUAGGUAACCGUGUUAAGAAAUGAUCAUAUACUACACGUGUAGGUUCAGGCGAAAUUCUGUGCUAUCCCGUUUUGCAUAGCCAACAUGAAACUAGAAUACAAUCUGUUGGGACAAUUUCAUGCCUCAAACAUGAUGGAAACUGACAGCUUGGAAGACGCUAAAAGGUUUUCUCAUCCCUGUUUGACCUAUUGUUUUCUAUAUUGAAUCUGAAUGCAUAGACCCCUGCUGCAAUGUGAAUUCAUGGUGGAUAUAUUGUUAUGGUAUAUUUGUCACAAAACUAAUUUACUCUCCAUUUUUUCUAGCUUUACUAAAGGUGGGUCUGUAGUUUCUCUCUUUGUUAAAUAGAAGAUUCUUGUAACCAAAACAGUGGAGAAUCAAUCAAAUAGAUAGUGUCAAGCAAGCGGUGCAUAUGGUGAAUCAGGAUAACUCAACACUGUUGAAUUGGUGUUCAGUGAUGUUGAUUCUGUACUAUGAUUGAUUUUGAUCCUCAAUAAUCCAAAUGUGGUAUGUCCUUAUGAUCCUCUGCUUCUCCUGUGGAUCGUAGAAACAGGUGAAUUGCUGCCACAUACUUGUAUGGUCAUGGAUUGGGCAAAGGGUGCCGCCAUUUCUGACUUGUAUUUGGUAAUCAAUUAAGAGACAACCCAUGCUUUAUAUCAUUAUAGUGCAAAAGACUUUCUAUUUGGUUUUUCAUGCUCAUUUUGUCCUGGAAUAUGUUAAACUACUGCACAGACAAACUGCCCCAAAAUCUGGAUGGAUGGUUUAAAAGCUCAAAGAAAUAUACUGUUAAGACAUUUCUUCAUGCUUGUGUGAUCAAACUUUGUUAUAGUACAAGGAGAACAAGUAAGGUUUUAUACAUUUUUAAGUAUUCAGGUUGCUAGUUUCCUUUGAUGGGUCCUAUUCCUUAGGUUAAAGUUUCUCUCGCCUUUUGCAUUAUUUCUAAAAUGAGGUUACGGCUGCCUGUUUUGACUAAGCAUUGAUACAGGAUGCUGCUAACAUCAUGCAUUCAAUGUAUCUAAUUUAAUUUUUAAACUCUUCAUGUUAAAGCUUAAAAGUGACGAACAGCAAAAGGUUAGAAAAUAUGUCGGUCAAUGCUACAAGCUCUUAGGGAGUUUGAUUGCAACUUUAAUAUUUUAAUUCUAUAAUUUGAUUUACUACCUGCCAAAAGCUAACUGACAAUUUCCUUGGGGAAAUUUCUGUUCAUCCAGAAUGUAAGUAUUCACUGACUCAGCAGUUGCUUCUUCAUGCCAAGAACAAGCACUUGAGUAUUUUAACUCUCUUUAUUUUACCUGUUCUUCAGCACAUUACUCUUCCUCUGUUGCAAUUGUAAUUUGCUCAGCAUCUCAUAAGUCACAUAUGGGUCUUGUUGUCAGUUUCAUUACCAUUAAUAUCACGGGUCCCACCUCUUUUUUCACUUCUGAUUACAUGAUAAUAUUUUGAUCUACUAUUGAUUUUUAUAUGUCAUGUUUGAUAAUAUUUUGAUCUACUAUUGAUUUUUAUAUGUCAUGUUUAAUCUGGAGCCAACUGCAUUGACAACAAAUACAUGCAAGUUCUAAGAUCAACCUCAAGCCUGCAUUUGGAGCAUAUGACAUUGUUGGUAAGGCUAAGCUGGGAUGUGAAAAAAUGGAGGUGCUACGGGAGUGGAGGAUAAAAAAUAACAGUCAUUGUGCUGGGGCACUAUCGGCAUCGGAUACUCGAGGUUCAUCUUCAAUUUAACUUUGAGUUGCAGUACAGGUGCUAAAUUGUGGAAUUUCCAAGCACAACUUUUUCUUUUCCUGUGGAACCUAAACAAAUUUUAUGCCUUGCUUUAACGGUUAAGUCUGCACUUUCCCUU